CCUAGUAGAGGUUUUUAUUUUUUUGCUUUUUGUUGUUUUUUUUUUUUUUUUUUUGUUUUUGUCCUCUACUGCCGUUCAUUUUGGGGUGAUAUGGAGUGUCUAAUAUUGAAUUGACUACAGACCUCCGCUAUUAUGCUUUUGUUCUAGUUCAGCGCAUUGUCAGAUAUGAUUCUUUUUGGCAUUCCAUACCGACAUAUGAUUUCCUGCUUUAAGAAUUUACUGACUGCCGAUUUGCUGACGUGGAGGAGUGGCGAACGUGGGAGAGGCGGUGGCGGUGGUUUGCUGUUUGGUAG
RNAcentral lists this long non-coding RNA (293 nucleotides) under Gossypium raimondii (Peruvian cotton). Its description in RNAcentral is "long non-coding RNA (GRAI_LNC000932)". The record is from RNAcentral. Lineage: Eukaryota; Viridiplantae; Streptophyta; Magnoliopsida; Malvales; Malvaceae.